GUAACGCGGAAGAAAGAGAGGGAGGGAUAGAAAGGAAUAAAGAGAAGCGACGCAUCGGGCAGUUUAGUCGGUUGCUGUUCUAUUUUCCUCUGUUGGCUGCUGCCCCAGCCCCCACCCCCCUCCCUCUCUCUCUCUUCUAAGACGUGCAUGGGAGCGAAAGAAGAAAAGAAAGGAAAGAUUGGACCGAUGGUUACUCGACACAGAGGGCAAACGGUGGAGGUCGCUGUUCUCACGAUUGAGAAUGAAAUAUAUGCUCAGUGAUGAGGUGCAGUUUAUAUUGAUGGCUUUUUGAUGACUUUGCUGAUCUUCAGGGUCAUAUCUAAUAGGUGCUGUUUGUUGACCCUGGUGUUCUCCAUCGGAGAUGUUAGUUUUGGCAAUUUAUUGGUAGAAAUGUUUGGGGAGAGGUGGAGAGGCUACUGAGAAUUUGUCACUUUAAGAAGAACAAGCUGUAUAUGGUUCACCUAAGGUCACAUUCUCAUUGUACCGCCUAUUGCUUAUCUAGUGGGCUUAAACUUCCUUAAAGAUCCAUCCAUUUGAAUGUGACGAGUGCGUACCAUUACCCUUUUUUUCUUUUGGAAUGUGUUGGGUCCCCUGUACUGCCACUGAUAGUGGAAACUAUUAUAGUUCAACAGUGGAAUUUAGUAGGUCUAAUGUGAUCCUAGGAGUAUUUGCUUCAUCACAUAGACAAUGGACAUUUUUUUCCAUUCACAUGUUGAGAAUAUGUAUAUCAGUAAUAGUGGUGAUAAAUUUAAAAAUAAAUUAGGUGAAAGGUUUUUUAAGCAUUAUUAA
This is a non-coding RNA of Phoenix dactylifera (date palm), 789 nucleotides long. The record is from RefSeq and is a predicted model, not a curated record. NCBI's taxonomy places the organism in Eukaryota, Viridiplantae, Streptophyta, Magnoliopsida, Arecales, Arecaceae.